UACGAAGGGGGCUAGCGUUGCUCGGAAUCACUGGGCGUAAAGCGCACGUAGGCGGACUCUUAAGUCGGGGGUGAAAUCCUGGAGCUCAACUCCAGAACUGCCUUCGAUACUGGGAGCCUUCGAGUUCGGGAGAGGUGAGUGGAACUGCGAGUGUAGAGGUGAAAUUCGUAGAUAUUCGCAAGAACACCAGUGGCGAAGGCGGCUCACUGGCCCGAUACUGACGCUGAGGUGCGAAAGCGUGGGGAGCAAACAGG
This 254-nucleotide ribosomal RNA is filed under the name uncultured bacterium. RNAcentral describes it as "partial 16S ribosomal RNA". It matches the Rfam family "Bacterial small subunit ribosomal RNA", at positions 524 to 776 of the family's 1533-position model. The record is from RNAcentral.